Long non-coding RNA from Branchiostoma floridae (Florida lancelet), 800 nucleotides. RefSeq lists it as uncharacterized. The transcript is spliced from 4 exons. Lineage: Eukaryota; Metazoa; Chordata; Leptocardii; Amphioxiformes; Branchiostomatidae. The record is from RefSeq and is a predicted model, not a curated record.
CGGAUUGUAUUACAUAACUUUGUAUUUUCUUUUUCUUUCUCUAUGCCUUUCUCAACGCAUAGGGCCAACGUCCCGAGCCUAUUGACGUCCAAAAGGGGCUGUUCAGUACAGCAGCUGCCGCAGCUGUGGCCAAGGUGACUGUGAAAGCUGCUCCCAAGGGAACUGAGAUCUGCGCCUUCUCUUCACCCGAUGAGGCCAGCAUCGACAAGGGCUUCAAAGUGUAUCUGCAAAAAUGCGCUAAUUGUCACUAGAACUGAUCCCAUCUACCAUAGAGGGCACCAGAUGAAGUCAUCUGAGAACAGGAAGUGACGUCACUACACGUAGUUUAGAGAAUGUGACAAGUCGUUAAUAGAUUAUACAUUUACAACUUUCUGUCGACAACUCUGAAAUUCCUGCACAAUUGAACAGUUUAUACACAAUGUAUCCUUGCUACGUAAUAACAACAUCUCUGUACCGUAUGCUAUAGAUACAAAUCUAAUAGCAGUUUAACAAGUAUUUGAAGUCGACCAUGUCGAAAAUCACUGUUCCAGUUUGUUUGCAAGAUUGCCAUACACAGGCCCUGUUGAAGUUUCUUGAUACAGGUACAAUACCACAUUUAUGACUUAACGCAGAGAACCAAAACGACCUUCUUAGCAAACAGUAAUUGAAACAAAACAGCGACAUUAACAUGUGAAGACUGUGUAUUUUGGAACGGCAAAUGUCACUGUAGUUUUUAGCAUUUAAAAAUGGAACGAAUAAUGGUAUGUGAAUGUGUAACCAUUUUGUGCUGCAAUAAAAUCUCUUCAGCAUAGUGUUCCAAA